GCUGAACGCUUUCUUCUUUCCUAAUACAUGCAAGUCGAGCGAACAGACGAGGAGCUUGCUCCUCUGACGUUAGCGGCGGACGGGUGAGUAACACGUGGAUAACCUACCUAUAAGACUGGGAUAACUUCGGGAAACCGGAGCUAAUACCGGAUAAUAUAUUGAACCGCAUGGUUCAAUAGUGAAAGACGGUUUUGCUGUCACUUAUAGAUGGAUCCGCGCCGCAUUAGCUAGUUGGUAAGGUAACGGCUUACCAAGGCAACGAUGCGUAGCCGACCUGAGAGGGUGAUCGGCCACACUGGAACUGAGACACGGUCCAGACUCCUACGGGAGGCAGCAGUAGGGAAUCUUCCGCAAUGGGCGAAAGCUUGACGGAGCAACGCCGCGUGAGUGAUGAAGGUCUUCGGAUCGUAAAACUCUGUUAUUAGGGAAGAACAAAUGUGUAAGUAACUAUGCACGUCUUGACGGUACCUAAUCAGAAAGCCACGGCUAACUACGUG
RNAcentral lists this ribosomal RNA (497 nucleotides) under uncultured bacterium. Its description in RNAcentral is "partial 16S ribosomal RNA". It matches the Rfam family "Bacterial small subunit ribosomal RNA", at positions 28 to 507 of the family's 1533-position model. The record is from RNAcentral.